This is a non-coding RNA of Myodes glareolus (Bank vole), 2204 nucleotides long. Lineage: Eukaryota; Metazoa; Chordata; Mammalia; Rodentia; Cricetidae. The record is from RefSeq and is a predicted model, not a curated record.
CCCACCCAACCGCAUCCCAUUGGCGUCCUGGCCCUCCCCAUCCCUCCUCCACUGUGCUUGGGGAGUAGCUGUGGAGUUAUCAGACCAUUCUGAAGGUCCUAUGAAGGGGAAAAAAGUACGCUACAGGUUUACGGCUAACCAAAGUCACGUGUCGGCGCGGAGGGAUCUCUGGGCACCGAACUUCCGGCCGGUGUUAGUUCACAGGGCGGGGAGAACUCUGAACCAAAGCUAUUACGGUCAAAACCGAAGCUGCCCGGUUGUCACGCGAGACGCCGAUGGAGCGCUCGUCGAGCUGAUUGGCCUAAGCGUGGCGAGUCAUGUAAACCUCAGGUUCCUAUUGGCUCCAAACCUGUACGCUGUAGGAGCAUUAGGUCUUUCGGGGAGGGCGGAGCUACCAGAGGUUCCGGCAGCCAAACUGUCCUACCUCUGGCUCUUGUUUUGGGUGACCCUGCUGCAGUGGCUGUCUCAAGCAUCGCUUCUGGGCAGCUUUAGUCUAGCACGCAGCAGCAGCAACCAGUUCUCCAGGCGUGAUCCUUGCGCCCGAAGCCCUCCCUCCCCAUAUUUGGUGUUCUCUGGACCAAAUGGGCAGGUUUCCGGCCUCUAGAGUUACCUGGUGCAGGCUUUCAGGCUCCUGUCCAAGGAACGCCCUUUGAGGGAAGGACAGAGCAGGGCACUCAUGUUGGAGUCUCAUUGGGAGAUAUUCUAGUUCCUCUAGCUCUGCAACUUUCCUCUGAACUCUGUAGUUGGAAAAAUAUGCCUAACUUCAGGUCUAAACCUUCCCAUUCCUGCCGUCAUAGGGGUGCUUGCUGCUGGUUUAUACAGUGUCUGUUGUCUUAAGAUCAUGUUUAAUUCAACUGGCUCUCAAGCCCCUGGGUAGUUUUGAUUGACUCCUAAGUACUUCCAGGCAUAACCUUCCCAAGAAGUCAUCCAGGUGUGUGAGCAGCCACUUGUUCCGUGCUAAGUGAAACCCAAGUCCUAAUCAGAGCCAACCCUCCAUAAAAGGGUGCUGUUUUGGGAGUGCUGAGAGUCCCUCUUCCACACUCCAGCCCCUUAAAGGCAGAAAUCCUGAGUUUCCACUUCUCUUGAAGUGACUCACACAAAUACCACUUCUGAGAGGGCUGGCUCAGUCAUUUAUUGGCUGGGGCAUUUGAUUUGGCUAAGUGACAUCUCGGAGCCUGUUUCCUUAUCUGCAAAAGGAAGUUGUCUCUCCUUGUCCUAAGAAAUGCGUAAAGCAACUGGCAUAGUGCCUACCACUUAACUGCUCAAUAAUUACUUGCAAGCCACGUACUCUAGCACACACAAUCCUAGCACUCAGGUCUGAAGUGUACCAACGUUCAAGGUCAACCUGAGCUACUAGAGGCCGAAAGAAACAGGAAGGCCAUGCAGAAGGUUAAGGAACAUCCUGAUUUGACACUACAGGAGAAUGUCUGAUGACUUCUUUGUCCCCAGUCUACUACAGAGAUCCAAGCCAGAUGCUUUAAAGCUGAAAAUGGACCUCGCCUAGCACCCAUCUAAGAAAAUACUUCAUAUUGCACACACACACCAGAGUUAUUGGAAAGGAGAGUUUUAUUUUCUUCUUCCCAUGCUGCAGAAGAUGCUGUUUUCCCCAGUAAAAUUUGCUCCUUCAAGGAGAAAAAGGAAUAAAGGGUCUCUGGGCCUCAAAGCUAAGCUGCUCCUAUAUGGACCCAGCUAAGACAGGACACAAAGACUGGUGAUUGAUUCCAUUCUUCCAGCUUGACACACUGACCACCUUGGAAGGGCAGGCAAGAAGGCAGGUUGUGGAUCUGGCCUCUGAGACCAAGAGUUUAAAGACUAGGUGAUCAAAAUAAAAGGUAACACCAAUCUCACCCCCAGUCUGCAGUUAAAUACUGAACCUACAUCCUGGUAUUUUGGCCAUUUAUAAGUCUAAGAGGCUUACAACCUCCCAGCCUGGUGCAAGGGUCAACUUUAGUCCCAGGUGCCUCCGCAUGUACCUUAGCCUUGAGCUUUUAAGCAAAAAAAGCUAGAGUUGUAGCCAGUGCUCUCAGUCCUAUCCUUGGCAGAAGGCUCUAAACACAUGGAGCACCCCUGCGCUCAGGGUCCCUUGUUCCAGAAGCUGAUUUACCUUAAUCAUCUGAGCUCUUUGAAGGAUUACAAUGGAGUAAAAUCAGCCAAGGAAAUGUCCAAGGAGAUGAUGGGUCUCCCAAUAGUUUUUCCAUCUUUUA